AAGUCGUAACAAGGUAACCGUAGGUGAACCUGCGGUUGGAUCAUUAAAAAAAUAAAGAUUGCGGAGCACUCUCAUUGAAAAGUGAAAGUGCGUUUGUACGCCACAUCUUGUGAACUCGUAACCGUCUCUGGCGAGGGGGAAAGCAAACUCUUUUGCGGUUUUUGCUUUUUCGUCAGCUCCGAACUCUUUUGUGCCCUCUCGGGUCGAAAGGUUUUAGAGCCGUGGACAUCUCGCCAACCGCCCCCCUUUUGGGUGGCGUCCUUUUUUGGUCACUUUCUGUAAAUUGCUUUGGGAAUUGAUUCUAAAUGGUUGUGAAAAUAAACAAAUGAUAUUUAAAACAACUUUUGGCAACAGAUCUCUUGGCUCUC
Molecule: unclassified non-coding RNA, 368 nt
Filed under: fungal sp.
Lineage: Eukaryota; Fungi
Description: partial internal transcribed spacer region
Rfam family: Eukaryotic small subunit ribosomal RNA (bases 1-46)
Source: RNAcentral